UGGGGAAUAUUGCACAAUGGGGGAAACCCUGAUGCAGCGACGCCGCGUGAGCGAAGAAGGUUUUCGAAUCGUAAAGCUCUGUCCUAUGGGAAGAUAAUGACGGUACCAUAGGAGGAAGCCCCGGCUAACUACGUGCCAGCAGCCGCGGUAAUACGUAGGGGGCAAGCGUUGUCCGGAAUCACUGGGCGUAAAGGGUUCGCAGGCGGAAAUGCAAGUCAGUUGUGAAAGGCAGAGGCUCAACCUCUGUAAGCAAUUGAAACUGUAUUUCUUGAGAUGUGGAGAGGCAAGUGGAAUUCCUAGUGUAGCGGUGAAAUGCGUAGAUAUUAGGAAGAAUACCGGUGGCGAAGGCGACUUGCUGGACACAAUCUGACGCUGAGGAACGAAAGCGUGGGUAGCAAACAGG
RNAcentral lists this ribosomal RNA (403 nucleotides) under Fusobacteriota bacterium. Its description in RNAcentral is "Fusobacteria bacterium partial 16S ribosomal RNA". It matches the Rfam family "Bacterial small subunit ribosomal RNA", at positions 355 to 776 of the family's 1533-position model. The record is from RNAcentral. Lineage: Bacteria; Fusobacteriati; Fusobacteriota.